CAGCGGAGCGGAGUUGUUUGUGCGGCGUCUGUCUAGCUCCGGAUCCUUUUUCUCUCACGUUCCGGGUUUUAAGAUGCCCAAGAAUAGGGAGGAGGCGGGAGCCGGGGACUCGCACACAUCUGGCUCCAGUUUGGUUCCCUCCCUCGAUCUAAACCCCUGGAUUAAAAAUAGUGGGGGGCGGGGGCGAAGACGCGGAGAUCAGGGGAGGCGCCGAGGGGUGCUCGGGCUCAGAGGACCAAGUGCCCCUAACCGUGGAGCAGGAGGGUGGGGGCGGCACAGGUGCUUUUUGCGGGGUUCUGAAUGGCAGAGGCCUUUUUCUCAAUUUCACGUGAAUCUUGUGAUCUUUGUCUUGCUAGCGGAACGGGCGUUUUUGAGGAAUCGUUAUUUGUACAUUAAAAAAAAAAAAAAAAAGUAAAUCCAACACAGCACAGCCCAGAAACGUUUGCAUUUCAGUAGAAAUGAUGGACUUCCUCGGGUUAAAAGGUAAGCCCAAAUACAUUUUAAAAAUUAUUCAGUAAACCUCUCUAAUGUUGGUUGAGGAUGCCCCUUGUCCCAGGCCCUUGAAGGCCGUAGUUACUGGGCCAGAGGUUACCAGCCCCGUGGGCUUUGGCACAGAUGGGGCGAUGGAGAGCUUCUGGAUCCAUCCCCCACCCCCCCAACACACACACCUUUGUCUUUAAAUGAUUUUUCUUGCCUUGUCCUGGGACCAUGGGGCUGGGUGGGCCCAUGCUCUCCAAAGCAGCACUUUCUGGGCAACGGACAGGACUGGCUUCCUUGGCAUGUAACCUGUCCAGUUACACAGGGAUCUUUACUUGGUUUGAGUGUCCGCUGUUGCUGUUUUUUGGUUUUUUUCUCUUAAUGUUUAUUUACUUUUGAGAGAGAGAGAGAGACAGAGUGUGAGCGGGGAAGGGCAGAGAGAGAAGGAGACACAGGAUCCCAAGCAGGCUCCAGGCUCCCAAGCUGUCAGCACAGAGCCUGAUGUGGGGCUCAAACCCACAAACCCAGAGAUCCUGACCUAAGCCGAAGUCAGAUGCUUAACCAACUGAGCCACCCCUCUCCUGUUGCAAUUUUGAAAUUAUUUAUAGUGUUGGAACAGGGGCUCAAUAUUUUUACUUUGCAGUGGGUCCCACAAAUUACAUAGCUGUUCAGUAUUUCCUUCUGAGGGUCUUGCUAGAGAGCAAGAGAUACAGCCCCCGCUCCUUCCUACUCUUCAAGCACAGUAGACUUUUCCAUCCUCCUGAAUGUACCAAGAAAACAUGCAGAGGUUUUAAGUAAAUAGCAACCAUGGAACAAAUUAAGAGAUUAAAUAUAUGUCUCAAAUAUAGUUAGUAUACGUAAGGGGUAUAUACAUGCAUUUGGAGAGCUAUAAGUGUUCCAGAGAUAGUAAGAGUAUCACCUUGAGUCAAGGAGAAACUAGUGGUUUACCCUAGGUUCAUGCUUAUCACAGCCAUGAUCUUUGUGGACAUGGAUUGGUGUUCACCCACCUUUGAUGCUGAGUGCUGGUAUAUAGUGCUGAAAAGAGAACUAGACGGGAGGAAUGCUUGGGUUCUGUUUAUUUCCUAGCAGCCCUGAAACCUUGAGUAAGACUUAGCAAUUCUUCAGUUUCUUCAUAAACAGGGCUAACAAGGCCAAUCUUGUCUUUCUCAGGUUUGGGGGCCAUUGACAGUCUAUGAGAAAGCACUGAACAAAGGAGGAUCCCCUUGUUCUCUAAAUCCCCAUAAGGCUAAGGCAUCUAUCCAGUUCUCACCUUUGGGCAUUGCUUUUCUCCUGGAGGUGCUGAAACAUAUCCCACUCAGUCAUUCCUGAACUUCCAGGAACAGACAUUUGUCCAUGUCAGAAGUAUCCAUCCAAUGGGCAUCUCUAUGGCUCCACCCUCCACUUUCAGAGUACCCAAAUGGCAAGGUGGCAGGUGAGAUGAAUUAAUUUCUGCAGGUAGGCAAGUGAAUUGGUGUCAUCACCACUCAUUAAUCCAGUUCCCUGCUAAUAGCAGUGAAUGGCCCAGAUGGCAGACCAGGCAGCCAGAGGAGCAAAGGAAAACAUUCUAAAGUCCAGGAGUCACCAGGUCCCCACUUGGAUACCCUGAUGCCAGAUUCCAGUUCUCUGAGCUUUGGGUUCGGCAUCUGUAGUGUCAGGAUAAUACCACAAGGUAGGAUUGCUGGGAAGAAUAAAUGGCUACACAGUGAAGGUAGUGUGUUAAUAAGCAGCACACUGCAAAUAGAUCAGUGGCAACCCUUUCUUCUCUCUAGCCAAUUGUAUUACCAAAUGCCACCCCCCUUCACUCACGGUCCGUCAUGUUCCUGUAAAGAAAUUCUUCCAGUUCUCUUCUUCCUUGUUCGUCACCCAAAAGGACUUUUUGAUGGAAAUGUUCCUAGCAGGUCCUCCCCAUCAAUUACUGACUCCAGCUCCGUAAAAUAAAUGGCACUAUUGGGCGAAUAACUCAGAUGUGUUUAUUGAUCUGAAUAGCAGGGUGUUACCCAAGUCUGUAGAAUUGUUACUAGAAUACUAGGGAUUUAGGACUUUAACUUAAUAACGUUACUGAAAGCUAAAUACCCACAUCCGUGUCUCUCCCCCAUAACCAGCAAAACGGAGCAGAUAGCUCUGAACACGAUCAAUUCAUGGGUGUCGACUCAGAGUGAGAUCGUACAGCUUCAAAAGUAGAGUCGGUCUUCUCACAGCUUGACGCACACCCAGAGGAGCCCCCAGGAGGACCCCCACCUACCCACCCCUCAAGCCCGAGUCCGGGGCAGGGAAGCACAAUUUCCCCCACACCCCCCCUCACUCGGGUCCUUCCGCCGGUCGCGGAGAAAGCCCGGAGCGCGGAACCGGAGCGACCCUCGGAGGCCACUGGAUGGGCAUGCUCAGUAGACCCGCAGGUCUGGUUUCACUCGGAAGCCGGCCGCAGCCCCUGCUCCCUACUGCCCUGCACUGGCGCCGGGAGAAGCGGACAUUUUAUCUUUCUGGGCGAUCCGCUCUCUCGUUCGCGUCCUUCGCCCCUUCUCUCCUACCGGGGUCCGGUAGGGCCGCGAGUGUAGAUCUUCCCCGGGUGGGGUUGCUGGUGGGAUCUGGUAAAUCACUCCCUCCAGCCCCGCCGGGGGCGCGCGCGGGGCGGGGGUGACUUGGAGAGAACUCUGCUGUGCCCUAAGGUUUGUACCGCCCGACCCGCCCGGCAGAAGGCCCCACUGCCGCGGCGGGCUCGCUCCCCGCCCCGCGAGGCGCGCGCAGCUGCGCCCAGGCCUGUCCUCACCUCACCCCCGUUCUGCCCCUUCGGUAUUUCUCAAUGACCGGCGCUAGGAGGACACUUCCGACGGGGGAGGGAGCAGGUAUCAUUAGCGCUGGGUUUAUCAGUUCCUUCCGGUCUGCCCUGAGCCCAGCCCCGAGCGCCACUCGGCCGCGCCUCGGCGUCCCGGUGCCUUUACUAUGUUUAAGUAAGCGGUCGCGUGUGCCAAGUGAGUUUGUAGCCCAGCUGUCUCCCCCAAGACCGGCCGGCAGGAAUGGAAACCCAAGCUCUCGUAAUGAAGGGGAUGAUGCAAACUUAGAAACUGACCCGGAGCCCGGGAAUGAUGCCUCCCCCCCCCCCCCCCCCGCGGCGCGGGGCGUCCCAGUCCAGGCAUGAAUGGCUGGAGCCAGAUUGCAUAAUCUCCGCAGUAUAAAUAGCCGGCGAGCCGGCCUCUGACGCGCUCGCUCGUACCGUUAUCGUGCCAUACUUGCCCCGAUGCCGCUCACUCCCAGCUCAUUUUCCUUUUCCGUCGCGCUGCUGGGAUUUUAAGUAACAGAGAUGAAAGGCUCUUGUCCCUGUCUCCCUCCUCCCUCGAGGUCAUAUAUUAUGAAUGAAACGCCAACCUCGCGGCUCCCCAAGGUGCCCUACUGCAGUUCUCAUGUGAGGCAGUGAUGUUCGGUGCUAACCAGAAGGAGAAAGCCGGGAAAGUCAAAGGAGAGCUGAGCCAGAAUCCUGAAAUUGCUGAGCUACUGAGUUAACCGGAUCUGGAACUCACCUCCUUCUGGAUUUCAUGUUCUGUGAGACAGUAAAUCUUUAUUGCUUAAGCCACUUUUUACCAAUGUCUUGUUGCUUGAGGCCAAACUGAGUAGUUCACACAGUAUGCAUUCGUUGUGUACACUCCCUGUUUUAAGUAAAUCCCAGUGUUUCAGUGGCCGGUGCCUGGAUGGUUUGCCACCUCGCAGAAGAGAACUAACCGAUGGAGUGGACUUCUACACACGUCUGUUUGAGAUGUUAUCUGCUGACAUUUGUAGGCUGAGAAAUUUUUGUUGCUAUACACGUAACAACUAAAUAUUGGACAAUCUAUAAAAACAUAAAAACCUCUAGUCUCUGUGUGCUUGAACGUACGCAUGCCGAGUGCUUGUAAGAAGUGGUGGUUAAAACUCCAUGGUUUUGUUCCAUUGUUAUUUGUGACUAUAAAUGUAAGCCCUGUUCAUUGUACAAACAUUUGAAGCACGAAAAAGGAUAGUGAAGAAAAUAAUAUCCUAAUAAUCCCACUGUCCAGAUAUAACCCACUAAUAUUUUAUUUCUUUAUUCUGAGAGAGGGAGAGAGAAUCUCAAGCAGGCUCCACAUUCAGCACAGAGCCUGACGCUGGACUCAAUCCCAUGACUGCGAGAUCACAAUCCAAGCUGGUAUCAAGAGUUGGAUGCUCAAUGGACCGAGCCACCCAGGCGCCCCGUUAAUAUUUUAAAUGUAUAUCUUUACAGACUUUUUCUAUAUAUAGUAUAUAUUUUAAUGUAAUAUGCAGUGUAUACUUUAAUAAAAACAAGAUCAUAUUAAACCUAGCUCUUUUGUAACCCCCUAAAAAAAAAAACCCUCGGUAAUAAUAUGCAUGUAUUCAGAGUCCUAAAUGUCUCGUGUUUUCCAGGGAGCAGCUGUGAGUUGAUAACAUUCUGUUUCGUCUUCAUGUACACAAUGCAUAGGUGUAAAAAUCAUUGGCAAAAAUAGGUGACAGAUGGCAAAAUAGUUUCAUAUAAAAUAUUUUAUUCUUCUGUGCCUCUGCUGUACCCGUCUGAACUUCUACCCUAGUAUCUAUAACAAAUAUUGAACCUAUUUGCUCAACUAGCUUCUUCACCAACUAACUCUUAAAUUCCUGGAUGGGAUGGGGAAAGCAAUGACCAAAUAAACUAAAUUCUUUCUAUAUACACAUAUCUAAAUCUACCAGAAUGUGUAAUACAUGCAAAGGUUUAUGGAAUGAAUAAAAAAAAAUGCUCGUAUAGGUUUUUUUGGAUUAUAAUAAAUGUGCUAUAGGCAAAUUUAUACUAUUGGUUGCAUUGAAAUCUCAUUUCGAACCAAUUAAGUUCACGCAAUGAUUAAGAUCACAAAAGAAACAAACAUUGCUUUACUAUCAAUAUCAUCAUAAAUCUUUUAAUGGUUCUAGACUUGAAAUUUCUGCCUGAAGUUCUGUUAGUUAUGGGCUUGAAUUUUAACCAUUGACAUUUUACCUAACAAUAAACAGCUGAAAGAUAAGCAGAAGAUCCAUCAUUUACCCCGAUGUUUCAAUAAACUUGAUAUUUUGGGCUAGUAGAUUUUUAAAAAUUCCAAGUGGCAGACCAAGUGUGUUCACUUUUAUCUCAAUACUUGCUGUCAUAUAGUUGUCACGUUAUAAAUGUAUAAUCUCUACUUUCUUCCUCAUUUUCAUUCUCUCCUAAACCCACCACAGUGUAGCUUUUGUCCUCACCGUUUCACACAAGUUGCUCCUUGGUCAGGUCACUUCAUUUGAUUCCCAAAUCUGACAGUCUUUCUUCAGUAUUGAUUUGUCACCUAACAUAGCUGCCGACUUCCACCUUUUUAAAACUCUUCCUCCAGUCGCUUCCAUGACCCCAAUUUCUGGUUCCUCUUUACUUCUGUUUAUUCAUUUAUUCGGCAAAAAUUCUACUGUAAGGGUAUGCAUGAUAAAGUGGGCAUCUAUUGAGUGCUUACUAAGUAUCAGGCAAUGUUUUUAAAUUGUAAACACUUUACAUGUAUGAACUCAAUCUUACCAGCGCAGGAGUAAGCCAACUUUUCCUUAAAGGUAAGUGUCUUCUUAAAGUAAAUAUCUUUGGCUCUGCAGGCACAGUGAUAUAUGUUGCAGCCCCUCAACCCAAACCAUUUUAGCAUGGAAGUAGCCAUAGAUGAUCUAUAAGCAAAUGCACAUGGCUGUGCUCCAAUAGAACUUUAUUUACAAAACAGGUGGCUAAACUUGCCGCAGGGGCUGUAGCUUGCCAACCCCUGCUCUAAAAUCUAAUAUAAAUUCUGCACCCCCAGGCGCAAGAAGUUUUGUCUGUUUUGAUACACAAUAGAUAGUAAACAUUUGGUAAAUGAAUACUCUUCCUCUAAGAUAGGAACUAUUCUAAUCUCCAUUUUCCAAAUAAGGAGAUGGAAGCAUAAAGGUUAAAUAACUUGCCAAAAGUCACCAACUGAUACGUAACAGAUCCAGGAUCUAAGCCCACACGGUCUUAUAUCGGGGCCCGUACUCUUCAUCACUACACUGGACAGCGGUGGCACAGAGGAGAAAGUUGCACAGCUAAUCUCAUGAGAAUCUGGAGAAGUUUUUUUAACUGAAUCUUGAAGGAUGAAGAAUUCGCCAGGGAGAAGACGGGAAGGAGAGGCUUCACAUUCUACUACGGAGAAACUGCAGGUGUAUGAAAAAGGGCAGACUGACACAAAGUGGCAUUAUGGGCAAACGGGCAGCAAAGGAAGAUUGCUGCUUGGAGAAUGCAUUCGCUUGUCAGUAGUUCACAUGGCUGGACACAGGCCAUGAGAUGAGAAGUGGUGGAGAUGAGGCUAAACAAGUAUGCCAGGGGCCUUGUGUGACACGUGAAUAAAUUUGGAUUUUAACUUGGCAGCAUGUGGGCUACUGAAGUGUUUUGAGCAUGGGAAGGAAUGACCAUAUUUGCAUUUUGGGUCGAUUUUUAAAGUUACAUUUUGUUUUAAAAUUAGAUGAUACAAGCAUCUUGUAGGACAUUUAAAAGCUGGGAAGGUCAUUCUCCUGCCCUCUUCCCGCCAUCUAGCUCCUUGUCCCAGAGGCACCACUGUUUGCGGUUAGAAAGACCUUCACUUAUAGCAGGAAGAACGGAUGGGGUCAGGGUGAGCUGGGUGUCUUGUUAAUUAAUUUAAGUUAAUUUAAUUAGUAAAAUUAAUUAGUAAAUUAAUUUAAAUUUUCUCCUUAGGGUAGAUGAUAAUGAAAAAAGGGUGAGAAAGACUGCCUUACACCUUCGUAAAUAGUUCCUCUAUUCAAUCCUCUUCAAAGGACUCAAGUUGAGUGUGCAUCUGUUUCUGCCCAUGUACCUGACGGAUAAUAGUGAAACUAGGAUGGAGAGUAAUUAUCCACGUGGUACAUGAUCAUAAAGAAAGGCCAUAUAACAUCUUGGCAAGCAGCAUAGACUGCUGGGAUUAGAAUCCUGGCUCUGCUAUUUGCUAGCCGUGUGACUUUAACCUCUCUGUGCCUCUCUCCAAAAUGGGGAUAAUAAUGGUAGUUAUGUCCUAAUGGUUGUGAGGAUAUCAUUCAAUGUGUGUUAGCUAAUUGCUCAAAGAAUCCUGAUGAUAAGAGCUUCAAAGGAGAAGGGGGUUUUGCAAGAGUGAAGGUGUAGAAAUAAAAUUAAGGAAUGUGGAGAAUGUCAACAGAACUUCCCAUGCCCAUGGGUUGUGGGCAUGAGAAAAGAAGUAGCAGCCUUUCUAGGAUUUAACAAGGAACAUCCCUCAGGGAAUAUGUUUACUUUGCAGGAAGGCAAAGAAGGAGCUAGGAGGUUGUGAAAAGAAGUUUACAAUUGAAUGGAGGUUCUGAGGCACGGAGGAAAGACCUGAGAAAGAGGAAGGCAAAAGGUAGACACAAAGCCCAGAGCAAGGUGGCAGAUUUAGAUUAAGGUGAGGGAGAAGAGACCUAGCUGGAGGCAGGGCCACCAUAUAUGACAACUCAGGUUGAACAGGGAAGGCAGUGGGGAACUACGGUCAUAUCUAGCCAGCUGCCUAUUUUUGAAAAGCCCACGAGCUAAGAAUUUUUUUCACAUUUUCUUGUUGAGAGAAAGUGCAAGUGUACAUGCAUGUGCAAGUGGGGGUGGAGCAGAGGGGGGCGGGGAGAGAGAGAGAGAGAGAGAGAGAGAGAGAGAGAGAGAGAGAAUCUUAAGCAAGGUCCACGCUCAGCGCAGAGCCUGACUCAGUGCUCAGUGUAAUGAACCGUGAGAUCAUGACCUGAGCCAAAAUCAAAAGUCAGAUGUUUAACUAACUGUGCCCUCCAGGUACCCCUGGUUUUUACAUUUUUAAAUAAUUUUUUAAAUUGAAAGAAUAACAUUUCACAAUACAUGAAAAUAAUGUGUAAUUCAAUCUCAGUGUCUAUAAAUAAAGUUUUCUUGUAUCAUG
Acinonyx jubatus (cheetah) is the source of this 8333-nucleotide long non-coding RNA. RefSeq lists it as uncharacterized. The record is from RefSeq and is a predicted model, not a curated record. The transcript has 2 exons. NCBI's taxonomy places the organism in Eukaryota, Metazoa, Chordata, Mammalia, Carnivora, Felidae.